UACAGAGGGGGCAAGCGUUAUUCGGAAUUAUUGGGCGUAAAGGGCGCGUAGGCGGCUUGGCAAGUGGAUGGUGAAAUCCCUCGGCUUAACCGAGGAACUGCCGUCCAAACUGCUUAGCUUGAGACCGGGAGAGGUGAGUGGAAUUCCCAGUGUAGCGGUGAAAUGCGUAGAUAUUGGGAGGAACACCAGUGGCGAAGGCGGCUCACUGGACCGGAACUGACGCUGAUGCGCGAAAGCGUGGGGAGCAAACGGG
This 253-nucleotide ribosomal RNA is filed under the name uncultured bacterium. RNAcentral describes it as "partial 16S ribosomal RNA". It matches the Rfam family "Bacterial small subunit ribosomal RNA", at positions 524 to 776 of the family's 1533-position model. The record is from RNAcentral.